CGCCGGCGAUGGUUCAUUCAAAUUUCUUCCCUAUCAACUUUCGAUGCUAGAGUAGUGUUCUAGCAUGGUUACAACGGGUAACGGAGGGUUAGGGCUCGACCCCGGAGAAGGAGCCUGAGAAACGGCUACUACAUCCAAGGAAGGCAGCAGGCGCGCAAAUUACCCAAUCCCGACACGGGGAGGUAGUGACGAUAAAUACUGAUACAGGGCUCUUUUGGGUCUUGUAAUUGGAAUGAGUACAAUUUAAAUCCCUUAACGAGGAACAAUUGGAGGGCAAGUCUGGUGCCAGCAGCCGCGGUAAUUCCAGCUCCAAUAGCGUAUAUUAAAGUUGUUGUGGUUAAAAAGCUCGUAGUAGAACCUUGGGCCUGGCUGACCGGUCCGCCUCACCGCGUGUACUGGUCCGGCCGGGCUCCCACCAUAGUCUAACCGCAUGCCCUUCACUGGGUGUGUUGGCGAAACUAUAUUUUUACUUUGAAAAAAUUAGAGUGCUCCAGGCAGGCCUAUGCUCGAAUACAUUAGCAUGGAAUAAUAGAAUAGGACGUGUGGUUCUAUUUUGUUGGUUUCUAGGACCGCCGUAAUGAUUAAUAGGGACAGUCGGGGGCAUCAGUAUUCAAUUGUCAGAGGUGAAAUUCUUGGAUUUAUUGAAGACUAACUACUGCGAAAGCAUUUGCCAAGGAUGUUUUCAUUUAUCAGGAACGAAAGUUAGGGGAUCGAAGACGAUCAGAUACCGUCGUAGUCUUAACCAUAAACUAUGCCGACUAGGGAUCGGACGAUGUUAUUUUUUGACUCGUUCGGCACCUUACGAGAAAUCAAAGUGCUUGGGCUCCAGGGGGAGUAUGGUCGCAAGGCUGAAACUUAAAGAAAUUGACGGAAGGGCACCACCAGGGGUGGAGC
RNAcentral lists this ribosomal RNA (894 nucleotides) under Colletotrichum gloeosporioides. RNAcentral describes it as "SSU rRNA". It matches the Rfam family "Eukaryotic small subunit ribosomal RNA", at positions 282 to 1182 of the family's 1831-position model. The record is from RNAcentral. Lineage: Eukaryota; Fungi; Ascomycota; Sordariomycetes; Glomerellales; Glomerellaceae.